AUUGAACGCUGGCGGAAUGCUUUACACAUGCAAGUCGAACGGCAGCACGGACUUCGGUCUGGUGGCGAGUGGCGAACGGGUGAGUAAUGUAUCGGAACGGGCCCAGUCGUGGGGGAUAACGUAGUGAAAAUUACGCUAAUACCGCAUACGAUUUAUGGAUGAAAGCGGGGGAUCGCAAGACCUCGCGCGAUUGGAGCGGCCGAUAUCAGAUUAGGUAGUUGGUGGGGUAAAGGCCCACCAAGCCAACGAUCUGUAGCGGGUCUGAGAGGACGACCAGCCACACUGGAACUGAGACACGGUCCAGACUCCUACGGGAGGCAGCAGUGGGGAAUUUUGGACAAUGGGCGAAAGCCUGAUCCAGCCAUUCCGCGUGCAGGAUGAAGGCCCUCGGGUUGUAAACUGCUUUUGUACAGAACGAAAAGGUUUCUACUAAUACUAGGAGCUCAUGACGGUACUGUAAGAAUAAGCACCGGCUAACUACGUGCCAGCCGCCGCCGUAA
RNAcentral lists this ribosomal RNA (500 nucleotides) under uncultured bacterium. RNAcentral describes it as "partial 16S ribosomal RNA". It matches the Rfam family "Bacterial small subunit ribosomal RNA", at positions 30 to 523 of the family's 1533-position model. The record is from RNAcentral.